GGUUUUAAUAGUUGAAGUACAACGGUGGUUUUUCGAGUCGUAGGUUUUGGUUAAAGGCCAAAUUAAAAUA
This 70-nucleotide transfer RNA is filed under the name Takydromus sylvaticus. Its description in RNAcentral is "tRNA-Glu". It matches the Rfam family "tRNA". From Rfam's summary of the family: Transfer RNA (tRNA) molecules are approximately 80 nucleotides in length. Their secondary structure includes four short double-helical elements and three loops (D, anti-codon, and T loops). Lineage: Eukaryota; Metazoa; Chordata; Lepidosauria; Squamata; Lacertidae. The record is from RNAcentral.